CCUACGGGAGGCAGCAGUGAGGAAUAUUGGUCAAUGGGCGUAAGCCUGAACCAGCCAAGUCGCGUGAGGGAUGAAGGUUCUAUGGAUCGUAAACCUCUUUUAUAAGGGAAUAAAGUGUGGGACGUGUCCUGUUUUGUAUGUACCUUAUGAAUAAGGAUCGGCUAACGCCGUGCCAGCAGCCGCGGUAAUACGGAGGAUCCGAGCGUUAUCCGGAUUUAUUGGGUUUAAAGGGUGCGUAGGCGGCCUUUUAAGUCAGCGGUGAAAGUCUGUGGCUCAACCAUAGAAUUGCCGUUGAAACUGGGAGGCUUGAGUAUGUUUGAGGCAGGCGGAAUGCGUGGGGUAGCGGUGAAAUGCUUAGAUAUCACGCAGAACCCCGAUUGCGAAGGCAGCCUGCCAAGCCAUGACUGACGCUGAUGCACGAAAGCGUGGGGAUCAAACAGGAUUAGAUACCCCAGUAGUC
Molecule: ribosomal RNA, 460 nt
Filed under: uncultured bacterium
Lineage: Bacteria
Description: partial 16S ribosomal RNA
Rfam family: Bacterial small subunit ribosomal RNA
Source: RNAcentral